CAAAAUAUAGCUAAAAUAGUAAAGCAUCUCCCUUACACUGAGAAGAUAUCCGCGCAAUUCGGAUUAUUUUGA
This 72-nucleotide transfer RNA is filed under the name Telatrygon zugei (pale-edged stingray). RNAcentral's name for it is "tRNA-Val". It matches the Rfam family "tRNA". Rfam says of the family: Transfer RNA (tRNA) molecules are approximately 80 nucleotides in length. Their secondary structure includes four short double-helical elements and three loops (D, anti-codon, and T loops). Further hydrogen bonds mediate the characteristic L-shaped molecular structure. tRNAs have two regions of fundamental functional importance: the anti-codon, which is responsible for specific mRNA codon recognition, and the 3' end, to which the tRNAs corresponding amino acid is attached (by aminoacyl-tRNA synthetases). tRNAs cope with the degeneracy of the genetic code in two manners: having more than one tRNA (with a specific anti-codon) for a particular amino acid; and 'wobble' base-pairing, i.e. permitting non-standard base-pairing at the 3rd anti-codon position. The record is from RNAcentral. Lineage: Eukaryota; Metazoa; Chordata; Chondrichthyes; Myliobatiformes; Dasyatidae.